This 377-nucleotide unclassified non-coding RNA is filed under the name Hevea brasiliensis (rubber tree). Lineage: Eukaryota; Viridiplantae; Streptophyta; Magnoliopsida; Malpighiales; Euphorbiaceae. The record is from RNAcentral.
GCCGGAACGCAAGUGCAGCAUGUUUAAAGAAAGGUGGAUGAGUUUAUAAAGAGUUGGGACAAAAGUUACAACAUCGUCUUUAACGCCUCCCAGAUGCCACUGAUUCGGUAGAAAAUAGGUUCUUUACUCGCGAAAGAACUGAAUCAUGUGCAGGGUCAUAUGGAUGAUCCUUGGAAGGAAUCUCCAAUAUUGCAGGAAUUGGCUUGUUAUAGCUAUCUACCAGAAACCUGAUCAUGUUUGCAACAUAUUGACUGAUCAUCACUAUUGCAAUAUCCUCCCUUGUAGUGAACUCUUUGAAAGCAUCUUCAAUUUGUUUAACAGUUGUCUUUGAGUCCACUAUAAGGUAAUUAGUUUUUCUUCGCAGGUCAACAUUACCA